GUUACUCUUAAAUAAGAAGCGUAUAGCUAUUUGAGAGCGGAAUUCCGAUUUACCAGUCUUUUAUUGUGAUUAGCGAUUUGAAGAAACUGAUAAAUUGAUUUGGUUUCCUUCCAAAAUCCUACCAAAAAAAUAUUCGGCAGGAUUUUUAUU
This 150-nucleotide small RNA is filed under the name Streptococcus urinalis 2285-97. RNAcentral describes it as "Listeria sRNA rli38". It matches the Rfam family "Listeria sRNA rli38". The record is from Rfam by way of RNAcentral. Lineage: Bacteria; Bacillati; Bacillota; Bacilli; Lactobacillales; Streptococcaceae.